Long non-coding RNA from Sinocyclocheilus rhinocerous, 1481 nucleotides. RefSeq lists it as uncharacterized. Lineage: Eukaryota; Metazoa; Chordata; Actinopteri; Cypriniformes; Cyprinidae. The transcript has 6 exons. The record is from RefSeq and is a predicted model, not a curated record.
CAGAACAAGAUGAAGUUCACUCUAUUUGCUGCCUUUCUUUUCUCUAUAGAAUGGAGUGUUGUGGUAGCAGGUGAUGGACGUCCAGUACCCUGCUGUCUUACUGUGUCAGGCACCAAUAUACGAGCUGACUACAUUGUGCGUUAUACUAUGCAAGAUCAACCGCUAUGUCCUAUCAGAGCUAUUCCACACCAAGAAAAACAAAGUUAUUUGUUCAGAUCGUGAUAACAACUGGGCUAAGAAUGCGAUGAGGAUAGUGGAUGGGAGAAAGAAAACAAAACCUUCCCAAAAACCUACUAUGUGCUAUUCAAGUACAACAAACAUUAUCCCAACUGUAAAUACAACAAACAAAACACCAGGAACAGAGACGGAGACCAGCACAAGUAUAACUGUAACACCAAAAGUGACGACAGUCAAAACAUCUGGUUUUAGUAACUUUCACUCACCUGAAAUGUAGAGAAGUUGAGCCGAUAUAGUAGCUAAUGAGAGAGUGCACACGUGUUUAUAUCUUAUACUGUGAAUAUAAUGAUCACUCACCUCAAUACAAUGAUGUUCUUCUUCAACAGGUGAUGGACGUUUAGUAGACUGCUGUGAUACUGUGACAAACACCAGAAUACCAGUUGAAAAAAUUUUGCAUUAUGACAUGCAAGAAACAAAUCUAUGUCCUGCCAGAGCUAUUUCACACCAAGAAAAACAUAACUAUUUGUUCAGAUCCAGACAGCAUAUGGGCUAAAAAAGCGAAGGCGAUAGUGGAUGGGAGAACAACGAUCAAAACAUCUGGACCGGAGACAGAGAUCAACAAAACAACCAUACAACCAACUUCAGUGUCCAGAGACAGCCCAGAAUCUUCUCUGAGUACUACGACAUUUACAUCAUCUACAACCAAGGACUGCUGCUUAGCAGUAACAAAAAACAAACCAGCAUUUCAUGAAAUUGUGGACUACAGAGUUCAAGAAACACCACUUUGCUCUAUCAGAGCUGUGCUAUUCAUAACUGUGGGGAACAGCAAAAUUUGCUCUUCUCCAGUAGAAGACUGGGUCCAGGAUUACAUACAGAACUUGAACAGAAGGAAAAAAACUAUAGACAAGAGAGAGUUUGCCAUCAAAAGAAUAAAAGACUCCAACACCAAUAAUUACUUUUGUCUAAAGAAGGAACAAUCUAAAUACUUUUGCUUCAAACAGCCUUGAAACAUCUGUUGGAAAAGCUUGGCCAACUUGUUAUGCCUGUAUACUGAUAAUACCAGGAUAACUGAACAACUUCUAAGUCUAAUAAACGAAUAAGGUGAUGCUAGUGAAAAAUCAGCACUGUGGUUUCAGUCACAUUGUCAUAUUUGUAUUCAUGUUUUGUGCGAUGACUUCUAUUUUGUGUAUUGCCUUUUAUUAAUUUACUUAAUUUAAAAUCAAUGUAAGUAUCCAAAAAUAAUUUAACUAGUAACACAAAAUCUUAGGCUGAUGAUACAAGGGGCAACGUUUUUUGAGCAAUGU